RNAcentral lists this ribosomal RNA (379 nucleotides) under uncultured bacterium. RNAcentral describes it as "bacterial SSU rRNA". It matches the Rfam family "Bacterial small subunit ribosomal RNA", at positions 30 to 410 of the family's 1533-position model. The record is from RNAcentral.
AUUGAACGCUGGCGGCAUGCUUUACACAUGCAAGUCGAACGGACUUAGGUGCUUGCACCUAGGUUAGUGGCGAACGGGUGAGUAAUGCAUCGGAACGUACCGUGUAAUGGGGGGAUAACGUAGCGAAAGUUACGCUAAUACCGCAUACGAUCUAAGGAUGAAAGCAGGGGAUCUUCGGACCUUGUGCUCCUGGAGCGGCCGAUAUCUGAUUAGCUAGUUGGUGAGGUAAAGGCUCACCAAGGCAUCGAUCAGUAGCUGGUCUGAGAGGACGACCAGCCACACUGGAACUGAGACACGGUCCAGACUCCUACGGGAGGCAGCAGUGGGGAAUUUUGGACAAUGGGGGCAACCCUGAUCCAGCAAUGCCGCGUGAGUGAAG